AGCUCCAAUAGCGUAUAUUAAAGUUGUUGCAGUUAAAAAGCUCGUAGUUGGAUCUCGGGUCCAGGCGUACGGUUCCGCCCGCGCGGACACUGUUCGUCCUGACUCGCCUGUCCGGUGUAGUCUUGGUGCCCUUAACUGGGUGUCUCGGUUGCCCGGAACGUUUACUUUGAAAAAAUUAGAGUGUUCAAAGCAGGCCGCUCGCGCCUGAAUAAUGUUGCAUGGAAUAAUGGAAUACGACCUCGGUUCUAUUUUGUUGGUUUUCGGAGCACGAGGUAAUGAUUAAGAGAGACAGACGGGGGCAUUCGUAUUACGGUGUUAGAGGUGAAAUUCUUGGAUCGCCGUAAGACGAACUACUGCGAACGCAUUUGCCAAGAAUGUAUUCAUUAAUCAAGAACGAAAG
Molecule: ribosomal RNA, 400 nt
Filed under: phytoplankton environmental sample
Lineage: Eukaryota
Description: partial small subunit ribosomal RNA
Rfam family: Eukaryotic small subunit ribosomal RNA
Source: RNAcentral